RNAcentral lists this ribosomal RNA (465 nucleotides) under uncultured Klebsiella sp. RNAcentral describes it as "bacterial SSU rRNA". It matches the Rfam family "Bacterial small subunit ribosomal RNA", at positions 338 to 795 of the family's 1533-position model. Lineage: Bacteria; Pseudomonadati; Pseudomonadota; Gammaproteobacteria; Enterobacterales; Enterobacteriaceae. The record is from RNAcentral.
CCUACGGGAGGCUGCAGUGGGGAAUAUUGCACAAUGGGCGCAAGCCUGAUGCAGCCAUGCCGCGUGUGUGAAGAAGGCCUUCGGGUUGUAAAGCACUUUCAGCGGGGAGGAAGGCGUUAAGGUUAAUAACCUUGUCGAUUGACGUUACCCGCAGAAGAAGCACCGGCUAACUCCGUGCCAGCAGCCGCGGUAAUACGGAGGGUGCAAGCGUUAAUCGGAAUUACUGGGCGUAAAGCGCACGCAGGCGGUCUGUCAAGUCGGAUGUGAAAUCCCCGGGCUCAACCUGGGAACUGCAUUCGAAACUGGCAGGCUAAAGGCUUGUAGAGGGGGGUAAAAUUCCAGGUGUAGCGGUGAAAAGGGUAGAGAUCUGGAGGAAUACCGGUGGCGAAGGCGGCCCCCUGGACAAAGACUGACGCUCAGGUGCGAAAGCGUGGGGAGCAAACAGGAGUAGAUACCCUUGUAGUC